GCACGGUCCUUUCGGGGGCAGUGGCGAACGGGUGAGUAACGCGUGGGAACCUGCCCUGGAGUGGGGGAUAACUACUGGAAACGGUAGCUAAUACCGCAUGUGCCCUGAGGGGCAAAGCAGCAAUGCGCUCUGGGAGGGGCCCGCGUCCGAUUAGCUAGUUGGUGGGGUGACGGCCUACCAAGGCGACGAUCGGUAGCUGGUCUGAGAGGAUGAUCAGCCACACUGGGACUGAGACACGGCCCAGACUCC
RNAcentral lists this ribosomal RNA (249 nucleotides) under uncultured bacterium. Its description in RNAcentral is "partial 16S ribosomal RNA". It matches the Rfam family "Bacterial small subunit ribosomal RNA", at positions 64 to 339 of the family's 1533-position model. The record is from RNAcentral.